UUGUGUACAUAAGUCCUCAAGAAUUGUACAUAUAUGUUUUGAUCUAAAUUUGGUUAGUAUAUCUUAAAUCCCAAUCAUUUUGACAAGUUUUUGUAAUUAAAGUUGAAUUUUUGAUGAAGAAUUAAUGUUUGAUCUUGAAGAUGCUCGUUGGGCUAGAGAAAGCUAGAGAAAGCCAGAAAUUUUGUUGAAUUGGCAGAGAGUUUCUGGCUUAAGCCAGAGAAAGCCAAAAAUCCUAUUGAAUUGACAGAGAGUUUCUGGCUUAAGCCAGAUAAAGCUACAAGUCCUGUUGAAUUGGCAGUGAGUUUUUGGCUCCAGCCAGAGAAAACCAGAAGAGCUGGAGGUGACUCAGAGGACACGUGUUAGCAAACCCAGCUAUGAAGUAAGGUAGCUGGCUGGGCCAGCUUAAAAAUCUAGUUCAUUAUAAAAGGACACCAAGAGCAGAAAAAUGGAUCAGAUAACUGGUAAUACUUCAAAAAACAGAGAAAAACAUCUUAGGAGCUAGGUUUAAGCAACUUGAAGGUGGAUUUGCUCAUCUUUGUUGAGGAAUCAACUCAUGAUGUUUGUUCAUUUCAAUUUCUUUCAUCUUUGUAAAGUUACUAUGUCUAUGGGUAACUAAACUCUCUUAUUGUUGGGAUUAGAUGUAAAAUAGUCUAUGAAUAUGUAUUUAUCUUGAUAUUGUGUUAUACAUGUUUUGGUGAUUCAAUCAAUCUUGAUAUUAUCUUUGCUUUUAAUGUUUUAUUCUUUGGAUUUGAAAUAGUAUAGGGAUAUAUGUUUUGAAUCAAUGAAUUAGGAUAAUAUCUAUUGAAUCUAAACUCUAGGAAUAGAUUUAGAUUUAAUAAUCACUNNNNNNNNNNNNNNNNNUCACCCGAGGGAUCGGGGAUUGAUCGAUGUAAUAGUUUCUCGUCGUUAUCUGGGAACGGAAACGUACGAAGAGCAAUACGUGAUAAAAUUGGUUGGUAACUCAAAUAUGUAUAACAGGUCA
RNAcentral lists this long non-coding RNA (982 nucleotides) under Trifolium pratense (red clover). RNAcentral describes it as "long non-coding RNA (TPRA_LNC010117)". Lineage: Eukaryota; Viridiplantae; Streptophyta; Magnoliopsida; Fabales; Fabaceae. The record is from RNAcentral.